UACGUAGGGUGCAAGCGUUAAUCGGAAUUACUGGGCGUAAAGCGUGCGUAGGCGGCUAUGUAAGACAGAUGUGAAAUCCCUGGGCUUAACCUAGGAACUGCAUUUGUGACUGCAUUGCUAGAGUGCGGUAGAGGGAGAUGGAAUUCCGCAUGUAGCAGUGAAAUGCGUAGAUAUGCGGAGGAACACCAAUGGCGAAGGCAAUCUCCUGGACCUGCACUGACGCUCAUGCACGAAAGCGUGGGGAGCAAACAGG
This 253-nucleotide ribosomal RNA is filed under the name uncultured bacterium. RNAcentral describes it as "partial 16S ribosomal RNA". It matches the Rfam family "Bacterial small subunit ribosomal RNA", at positions 524 to 776 of the family's 1533-position model. The record is from RNAcentral.